CUGGUUGAUCCUGCCGGCGAUCACCGCUAUUGGAAUCCGCUUAAGACAUGCGAGUCGAGAGGGUUUAGACCCUCGGCAUACUGCUCAGUAACACACGGAUAAUCUACCCUAAGGUGGGGCAUAACCUCGGGAAACUGAGGAUAAUACCCCAUAGAUCAUGGAUGCUGGAAUGCUCCAUGGUCCAAAGUUCCGGCGCCUUAGGAUGAGUCUGCGGCCUAUCAGGUUGUAGUGGGUGUAACGGACCCACUAGCCUACGACGGGUACGGGCGUUGGGAGACGUCGCCCGGAGUUGGAUUCUGAGACACGAAUCCAGGCCCUACGGGGCGCAGCAGUCGCGAAAACUUGUCAAUGAGGGAAACCUCGAACAGGGGAGUCCAAGUGCAUGCGUUUUACGUAUGCUGUUCAGUUGUCUAAAAAACAGCCGAAGUAAGGGCUGGGUAAGACAGGUGCCAGCCGCCGCGGUAAUACCUGCAGCCCAAGUGGUGACCAUUAUUAUUGAGCCUAAAGCGUCCGUAGCCGGUUUGGUAAAUCCUCGGGUAAAUCGAGCAGCUUAACUGUUCGAACACCGAGGAGACUGCCAGACUUGGGACCGGGAGAGGUCAGAGGUACUCCAGGGGUAGGGGCUAAAUCCUGUAAUCCUUGGAGGACCACCAGUGGCGAAGGCGUCUGACUAGAACGGAUCCGACGGUAAGGGACGAAACCCUGGGGCGCAAACCGGAUUAGAUACCCGGGUAGUCCAGGGCGUAAACGCUGCAGGCUUGGUGUUGGGGACCCUACGGGGGUGCUCAGUGCCGGAGUGAAGAUGUUAAGCCUGCCGCUUGGGGAGUACGUCCGCAAGGAUGAAACUUAAAGGAAUUGGCGGGAGAGCACAGCAACGGGAGGAGCGUGCGGUUCAAUUGGAUUCAACGCCGGG
Molecule: ribosomal RNA, 913 nt
Filed under: uncultured archaeon
Lineage: Archaea
Description: bacterial SSU rRNA
Rfam family: Archaeal small subunit ribosomal RNA
Source: RNAcentral